CAGGUUCAACUAGAAACAGAGAUCAAAAUUAUAUCAUCAAAACACAGUAUGCCCAGUUCUUAAAGGUAAAAUAGUAAUCCAAGGCCUCAAAAUGCUAACUCAUAAUAAGAUCCAGAUAAAACAGAAAGCAGAAACUGAAGAGCAGCCUGAUCUCAACUAAGGAAAUCCACUAACAGCUCAAAAUGUUGUAGAUGCAGCAGCUUUCUUCCUCGGAGCUGCUUCAGUUCCUUCUCUG
Molecule: unclassified non-coding RNA, 235 nt
Filed under: Hevea brasiliensis (rubber tree)
Lineage: Eukaryota; Viridiplantae; Streptophyta; Magnoliopsida; Malpighiales; Euphorbiaceae
Source: RNAcentral